GAAAUGCGAUAAUUAAUGUGAAUUGCAGAAUUCGGUGAAUCAUCGAGUCUUUGAACGCACAUUGCGCCCCCUGGUAUUCCGGGGGGCAUGCCUGUCCGAGCGUCAUUGCUGCCCUCAAGCACGGCUGGUGUGUUGGGCUUCCGUCCCUGGCAACGGGGACGGGCCCAAAAGGCAGUGGCGGCACCAUGUCUGGUCCUCGAGCGUAUGGGGCUUUGUCACCCGCUCCCGUAGGUCCAGCUGGCAGCUAGCCUCGCAACCAAUCUUUUUAACCAGGUUGACCUCGGAUCAGGUAGGGAUACCCGCUGAACUUAAGC
This 314-nucleotide unclassified non-coding RNA is filed under the name plant metagenome. RNAcentral describes it as "partial contains 5.8S ribosomal RNA, internal transcribed spacer 2, and large subunit ribosomal RNA". The stretch from base 1 to 105 matches the Rfam family "5.8S ribosomal RNA", at positions 50 to 154 of the family's 154-position model. The record is from RNAcentral.